RNA transcript from Canis lupus familiaris (dog), 2044 nucleotides. It is a transcript of the gene named protein phosphatase 1 regulatory subunit 42, with no coding region annotated. NCBI's taxonomy places the organism in Eukaryota, Metazoa, Chordata, Mammalia, Carnivora, Canidae. The transcript has 8 exons. The record is from RefSeq and is a predicted model, not a curated record.
CCGCCAACAGGACCGAUGCCUCGCGGCCUCGCCGAGCCAACCGGCUCCGCCCGGACCCCGUCCAGCGGCCCUCAGCCUCCGGCCGCUCGCGUCACAGAGCGACCGGCGCCCGCCACGGCGUUGGGCGCUUCCGGAGACAUCGCGAGAUUUCCCGGAAACCCUGUCCCCAGCAAGAGCGUCUGGUCGCCUGGCAACCGCACCGCGCCGCCGAGGAACCUGGCACUGAAGAAACUUGACUUCCAGACUCCGCUCCUUCAGAAAGUGGAAGACCUCUCUCCUUGCAAAAAUCUUACUGUUUUAUAUUUGUAUGAUAACCGUAUCAGUCAAUUGACUAACUUGAAUUAUGCUACAAAUCUGACCCACCUGUACCUACAAAACAACUGUAUUUCAUGCAUAGAGAACCUCAUGUCAUUAAAGAAACUGGAAAAACUGUAUCUGGGAGGCAAUUACAUUGCUGUUAUAGAAGGUUUGGAAGGAGUAGAAGGAUUAAGAGAGCUUCAUGUUGAGAGUCAGAGGCUUCCCCUUGGAGAAAAGCUUCUGUUUGAUCCAAGAACUCUUCAUUCUCUGGCAAAAUCCCUCUCUAUAUUGAAUAUCAGCAAUAAUAAUAUUGAUGACAUAAGAGACCUAGAAAUACUAGAGAAUCUUAAUCAGCUCAUAGCAGUUGACAACCAACUUCUGCAUGUAAAGGACUUGGAAUUUUUACUGAACAAAUUGAUGAAGCUGUGGAAAAUGGAUCUAAAUGGAAAUCCUGUUUGUCUCAAACCCAAAUACAGAGACAGACUGAUACUGGUGUCCAAGUCACUAGAAUUUCUUGAUGGAAAAGAAAUUAGAAACAUGGAAAGACAAUUCCUAAUAAAUUGGAAAGCAUCCAAAGAUGCCAAGAAAAUCAGCAAGAAAAGGAAUAGUCAAACUGAAGAUGCAAGUAACUCACACAUAAGUAAGCAGGCUGUCAUUCAUUAGUUGACCACUUCUAACAGAGGAAUAUUCUCAACAACAACAACAACAACAACAACAACAACAAAAAUGCCAAGAAAUAAGAGAUACCUUCCAAAUGGAAAUGCAUCUGCAGAAAGCUCCCAAGAAGAUAACCCUAAAAUUAUUGAAGAUCUGGGGGAGGAAAAAGUCAGACUCACUGACGUUGUUUUGACCCUCAAACUGAACUUGAUACUGUCGAUGUACACUUUAAUUAAAGAUUAGUUCAAAACUAUUUUUUAUUUAAAGGCUGAUUCUAAACAAAUGUCUUCACUGUUCAAUUAAAAAUAAUUUAUGGUAUCAAAAAGCGUACACAUGAUUGCUUCUCUCUGUGUUUGUCACAGUAAAUACUUCUGACAGAUGUUUCCUCUCUUCAAACAUGCUAGGAGGUGCUUGAGACUUAGUAAUUUUAAAACAGACAUUAAAUGCAUUUACAUAUUGUAAAUAAGAUCCACUGAGAAUUCUGUAGAGCAAUGUACACUGAAGAAAGCAAAUUGUUACUUGAUUAUUUAUCUUUCAAGCAUAAGAAAUGUCCAUAGAGUCAAUCCAUCUCUUUUGUUACUGUAAAAAUAACUGUGUAGCUGGGUUAAAAUACCCUUAGUUUCAGAUACUUUCAAGGAAUGUGAAUCUCUGGGACCCAGAAUUCGCAGGGAAAUGUUCACUGUACAUUAUUUGACUAUUUAUAAAAUACCUACUAUCUUUAGUUAGAAUAUGGAAGUAUUAGAUUUCUUUGAAUUAGAAAGUGAACUUUAAAAAUAGUAAAAAUAACUUGCUUUCACCACUGCUAAGGUUAUGUUUGAACAGUUGUAACAACAGAUCUAUGUGCCUCAAGAGUUUUUAAAACUUAGGUAAUAUUUUUAGUUACAAAACUCUGGGAUGCUCUUAUAUAAACUCAUCUGCAAAGCUCUAAAUGCCUUUAAUUAUGCUAUAUUAAACCUAGCCUCAGUCUAAUUUUAUAUGCAAAAUAAACUAUGUAUCAGUAAUGUAGGUAUAACAUUGAGACUUUGAUUUCCAGUUAGUUCUCAAAGAGCCCUUCUGAAAUUAGGACACCCCUCCUCAAAAAAAAAAAAAG